AUUGAACGCUGGCGGCAGGCUUAACACAUGCAAGUCGAGCGGGGAAGGGUAGCUUGCUACCUAACCUAGCGGCGGACGGGUGAGUAAUGCUUAGGAAUCUGCCAUUUAGUGGGGGACAACGUUCCGAAAGGAAUGCUAAUACCGCAUACGUCCUACGGGAGAAAGCAGGGGAUCUUCGGACCUUGCGCUAAAUGAUGAGCCUAAGUCGGAUUAGCUAGUUGGUGGGGUAAAGGCCUACCAAGGCGACGAUCUGUAGCGGGUCUGAGAGGAUGAUCCGCCACACUGGGACUGAGACGCGGCCCAGACUCCUACGGGAGGCAGCAGUGGGGAAUAUUGGACAAUGGGCGGAAGCCUGAUCCAGCCAUGCCGCGUGUGUGAAGAAGGCCUUAUGGUUGUAAAGCACUUUAAGCGAGGAGGAGGCUACUUAGAUUAAUACUCUAGGAUAGUGGACGUUACUCGCAGAAUAAGCACCGGCUAACUCUGUGCCAGCAGCCGCCGUAA
RNAcentral lists this ribosomal RNA (501 nucleotides) under uncultured bacterium. Its description in RNAcentral is "partial 16S ribosomal RNA". It matches the Rfam family "Bacterial small subunit ribosomal RNA", at positions 30 to 523 of the family's 1533-position model. The record is from RNAcentral.